Long non-coding RNA from Malaclemys terrapin pileata, 641 nucleotides. RefSeq lists it as uncharacterized. NCBI's taxonomy places the organism in Eukaryota, Metazoa, Chordata, Testudines, Emydidae. The record is from RefSeq and is a predicted model, not a curated record. The transcript is spliced from 2 exons.
CACCAACUGAGAUCAAGGCUCCAUUGUGCUAGGCACUGCACAAACAAACAGGCCAUGACUUGAAGAGCUCACGAUCUAAAUAGCUGCAAAUUGGCAAGAAUGGAAUGAGAGAGAUUUUAAACUUUGGUUGAGAAACGUCUAUUUAUGCAAACAGAAUCCAUCUUGUGGAUUUUUCCAGGGAAAUGAUCAUCUAAUCUAAAUGAUGCAAGGAACUCCAGCUAUCCAUUGCAUAGACCCAAAUGGCCAGACAGCACAGCUAAGCGGCGUCUGAACAAUACGUCAACAGGCCUCUUUUCUCCCUCCCCAUGCAGAGUGACUAAUUCAAAAAAAGAUGUCAAAGACACUCCUGAAACAGGAAAUGAUGGCUUGUUAUGGCACCUUCAGGAGAAACAAACGAAAUAAUUAGUCUAGGAAGGAUUAGAUUUUUAUUGGCAAAUGUCAGUAAACGUCGGUUUCACUAUAGGCAUACAAACCAGUGGGAAAGAAAUUCCAUAGAUAAUCAUUGAAAUUUACAAAUAGGCAUAGUAAGAAAAAUGCUGCUUGAGAACUUAUUAACAUUUGAUUUAAGGAUACUCUGAAUAUUUUGACAUGUGCUGUUAACAAUUUUUGCUUCACUGCUUAUAAAGCUUUACUAUUUUGAA